This 75-nucleotide transfer RNA is filed under the name Ardenticatenia bacterium. Its description in RNAcentral is "tRNA-Asn". It matches the Rfam family "tRNA". Rfam says of the family: Transfer RNA (tRNA) molecules are approximately 80 nucleotides in length. Their secondary structure includes four short double-helical elements and three loops (D, anti-codon, and T loops). The record is from RNAcentral. Lineage: Bacteria; Bacillati; Chloroflexota; Ardenticatenia.
UGCCAGGUGGCCUAAUGGUAGGGCGUCGCACUGUUAAUGCGAAAAGUGCUGGUUCGACUCCAGUCCUGGCAGCCA